UUGCACGCUGGCGGCAGGCCUAACACAUGCAAGUCGAAUGGUAACAGGAAACAGCUUGCUGUUUCGCUGACGAGUGGCGGACGGGUGAGUAAUGUCUGGGAAACUGCCUGAUGGAGGGGGAUAACUACUGGAAACGGUAGCUAAUACCGCAUAACGUCGCAAGACCAAAGAGGGGGACCUUCGGGCCUCUUGCCAUCAGAUGUGCCCAGAUGGGAUUAGCUAGUAGGUGGGGUAACGGCUCACCUAGGCGACGAUCCCUAGCUGGUCUGAGAGGAUGACCAGCCACACUGGAACUGAGACACGGUCCAGACUCCUACGGGAGGCAGCAGUGGGGAAUAUUGCACAAUGGGCGCAAGUCUGAUGCAGCCAUGCCGCGUGUAUGAAGGAGGCCUUCGGGUUGUAAAGUACUUUCAGCGGAGAGGAAGGGAGUAAGGUUAAUACCUUUGCUCAUUGACGUUACCCGCAGAAGAAGCACCGGCUAACUCCGUG
RNAcentral lists this ribosomal RNA (489 nucleotides) under uncultured bacterium. RNAcentral's name for it is "partial 16S ribosomal RNA". It matches the Rfam family "Bacterial small subunit ribosomal RNA", at positions 30 to 507 of the family's 1533-position model. The record is from RNAcentral.